CCUACGGGAGGCAGCAGUGAGGAAUAUUGGUCAAUGGGCUUACGCCUGAACCAGCCAAGUCGCGUGAGGGAAGACUGCUCUAUGGGUUGUAAACCUCUUUUGUCAGGGAGCAAUUGGCGCUACGUGUAGCGUUAUCGAGAGUACCUGUAGAUAAAGCAUCGGCUAACUCCGUGCCAGCAGCCGCGGUAAUACGGAGGAUGCGAGGGUUAUCCGGAUUUAUUGGUUUAAAGGGGUGCGUAGGCGGAAUGCCAAGUCAGCGGUAAAAUCGCGGGGCUCAACCUCGCUCCGCCGUUGAAACUGGCGUUCUUGAGUGGGCGUGAGGCAUGCGGAAUGCGUGGUGUAGCGGUGAAAUGCAUAGAUAUCACGCAGAACCCCGAUUGCGAAGGCAGCAUACCGGCGCCCAACUGACGCUGAAGCACGAAAGCGUGGGUAUCGAACAGGAUUAGAUACCCCUGUAGUC
RNAcentral lists this ribosomal RNA (460 nucleotides) under uncultured bacterium. RNAcentral describes it as "partial 16S ribosomal RNA". It matches the Rfam family "Bacterial small subunit ribosomal RNA", at positions 338 to 795 of the family's 1533-position model. The record is from RNAcentral.